AAAUAAGAAUUAAACAUUCAGUUUCGACCUGAAUUUAGAGAAAUUAUUUCUCCUUAUUUU
RNAcentral lists this transfer RNA (60 nucleotides) under Hackeriella veitchi. Its description in RNAcentral is "tRNA-Arg". The record is from RNAcentral. Lineage: Eukaryota; Metazoa; Arthropoda; Insecta; Hemiptera; Peloridiidae.